Molecule: long non-coding RNA, 753 nt
Organism: Talpa occidentalis (Iberian mole)
Lineage: Eukaryota; Metazoa; Chordata; Mammalia; Eulipotyphla; Talpidae
Exons: 3
Source: RefSeq, a predicted model, not a curated record
CUCCUGAUCAGUCACAUAGGCAAAAGAAUGCUAUAAGGCUUCCUCCCUAGGCAGUCUCACGCCAACACUCUAAUUUCUGUUUCUUGAAAGGAGCAACAGGUUAUUAUAUAACAGAGACAGCACCACAGGGGAGAGGAUGAGGAAGGGUAAUUUUAGCAUCACUAAGGCAGACUGCAGAAACUUCUACUUGGUGACUGAAGAACACUUGUUGGCUCUUAGGAAUGAGAUAAUACAGUAUGUGUAAGAGAAAACAUUCUUCGGCUGGACAGAAGAGACGGAACUGAGAGACAUCUGCGCUCUGAGGGAGAAGAUAGAUAAUCACUGGAAGAUGACUCAGUGAAUAAAUCCACUAAGCCUCAAUGCACUCCACAGCCACUUCUGUGUAUCAUCAGGCUGGGAGGCACAGGUCCAGGACCAUCAAAGAGGUCUGCUUGUGGGGUCUUUGUGGACUACAACUUCAGAGAGGGGCACUUAGGGUGCAUGUUCAGUCAUUGCUGGGUUGGCUCAGUUUUACACAAAAUCUUAGGAACAAGACUCCCUUUUAAUUAUUACAGCUGAUCCUUGAGCAAUAUGGGGCCACUCACACUUGGAUUUAUUUCUAUUCAUGGGUUCAGCAUUCAUAGAUUCUACCAACCAUGAUGUUCAAGAACCAAUUAGAAAUUCCUUGAUCUCUGAAACAAAACCAAUGAGCUCCAAUUUCUUCAUCAAUAUAAAAUGUAAAAUUGGUAGGGGAGUGCUAUAGAACUGAAGAAA